RNAcentral lists this non-coding RNA (135 nucleotides) under Hafnia paralvei. RNAcentral describes it as "Moco (molybdenum cofactor) riboswitch". It matches the Rfam family "Molybdenum/Tungsten riboswitch aptamer (Moco RNA motif)", at positions 11 to 123 of the family's 135-position model. The record is from RNAcentral. Lineage: Bacteria; Pseudomonadati; Pseudomonadota; Gammaproteobacteria; Enterobacterales; Hafniaceae.
UGAACUCCUAGCCCUGUUGCCUAAGUUUUCCGAAAACUGGAUGUUUUCAAAAAUAUGGCGUCAGGGCCGUGGCUAUAAGCCACCAGGGUACAAGGUAGAAAUGCCUGUGCCUCCCGAUAUUGGAAAGGUGUUAAC